AUUGAACGCUGGCGGCAUGCCUUACACAUGCAAGUCGAACGGCAGCACGGGUGCUUGCACCUGGUGGCGAGUGGCGAACGGGUGAGUAAUACAUCGGUACAUGUCCCGUGGUGGGGGAUAGCCCGGCGAAAGCCGGAGUAAUACCGCAUACGAUCUACGGAUGAAAGCGGGGGGCCUGCGGGCCUCGCGCUAUAGGGUUGGCCGAUGGCUGAUUAGCUAGUUGGUGGGGUAAAGGCCUACCAAGGCGACGAUCAGUAGCUGGUCUGAGAGGACGACCAGCCACACUGGGACUGAGACACGGCCCAGACUCCUACGGGAGGCAGCAGUGGGGAAUUUUGGACAAUGGGCGAAAGCCUGAUCCAGCAAUGCCGCGUGUGUGAAGAAGGCCUUCGGGUUGUAAAGCACUUUUGUCCGGAAAGAAAUCCUUGGCCCUAAUACGGUCGGGGGAUGACGGUACCGGAAGAAUAAGCACCGGCUAACUACGUG
Molecule: ribosomal RNA, 486 nt
Filed under: uncultured bacterium
Lineage: Bacteria
Description: partial 16S ribosomal RNA
Rfam family: Bacterial small subunit ribosomal RNA
Source: RNAcentral